UUUUUGGAGAGUUUGAUCCUGGCUCAGGACGAACGCUGGCGGCGUGCCUAAUACAUGCAAGUCGAGCGGACCAAUAGAAGCUUGCUUCUAUUGGUUAGCGGCGGACGGGUGAGUAACACGUGGGCAACCUGCCUGUAAGACUGGGAUAACUUCGGGAAACCGGAGCUAAUACCGGAUAAUUCAUCCCCUCGCAUGAAGGGAUGCUGAAAGUCGGUUUACGCUGACACUUACAGAUGGGCCCGCGGCGCAUUAGCUAGUUGGUGAGGUAAUGGCUCACCAAGGCGACGAUGCGUAGCCGACCUGAGAGGGUGAUCGGCCACACUGGGACUGAGACACGGCCCAGA
RNAcentral lists this ribosomal RNA (344 nucleotides) under Neobacillus thermocopriae. RNAcentral describes it as "Bacterial small subunit ribosomal RNA". It matches the Rfam family "Bacterial small subunit ribosomal RNA", at positions 1 to 335 of the family's 1533-position model. Lineage: Bacteria; Bacillati; Bacillota; Bacilli; Caryophanales; Bacillaceae. The record is from Rfam by way of RNAcentral.